RNAcentral lists this ribosomal RNA (446 nucleotides) under uncultured bacterium. RNAcentral describes it as "bacterial SSU rRNA". It matches the Rfam family "Bacterial small subunit ribosomal RNA", at positions 330 to 793 of the family's 1533-position model. The record is from RNAcentral.
CCCAGACUCCUACGGGAGGCAGCAGUGGGGAAUAUUGCACAAUGGGGGAAACCCUGAUGCAGCGACGCCGCGUGAGUGAAGAAGUAUUUCGGUAUGUAAAGCUCUCUCAGCAGGGAAGAAAAUGACGGUACCUGACUAAGAAGCCCCGGCUAACUACGUGCCAGCAGCCGCGGUAAUACGUAGGGGGCAAGCGUUAUCCGGAUUUACUGGGUGUAAAGGGAGCGUAGACGGCAUGGCAAGUCAGGUGUGAAAGCCCGGGGCUCAACCCCGGGACUGCAUUUGAAACUGUCAGGCUGGAGUGCAGGAGAGGUAAGUGGAAUUCCUAGUGUAGCGGUGAAAUGCGUAGAUAUUAGGAGGAACACCAGUGGCGAAGGCGGCCUACUGGACUGUAACUGACGUUGAGGCUCGAAAGCGUGGGGAGCAAACAGGAUUAGAUACCCUGGUAC